AUAGAUAGAUAAUACGAAUGCAGCACCAGAUGAAUAUGUGAUGUAUGAAGAUUAAAAUAAUAUAAAAACUGUAUUUAAAUUGGAAUUAUUUUGAAUAUGAUACAAAUAAAAGUGUAAAUAAGAUAUCGAAAUCAAAUUAUCUAUAAAUUCAUGAAGUGAUCUUACAAUUCAACAAAGAAUAAGAAGUAAACGACGAAGUUUAUAUAUAAAAACAGCAUUGUAGGUUACGUUUCCAUUUACAAUGGCACAGUCAACAGCUAGUGGAACGUCUUCUCGACGUUAUAUGAGAGAACAUGAUGUUAAUGUACCAUCCUCAUCACGUUAUGUGGAUAGUGACUGGGAAACCAAAGAGGCUCUACGACAAAGAGAGCUGGAAGAAGCUCGUGCACGAGCAGCUCAAAUGGAGAAAACAAUGAGGUGGUGGUCAGAUUGUACUGCUAAUUGGCGUGAAAAGUGGAGUAAAGUACGCAAUGAGAGGAAUGUGGCAAGAGAAGAGGCAAAGAUGCUUAGAGCAAAGUUAGAGAUUGCUGUAAAGGAUGCGAGCAGUUAUAAACAUGAGUGUCAGGAAUUGGAAUUACAAAAUGAACAAUUGAAAAAAGAAAUGGAGAAAGUACAUAUGGUACUGUUGAAGCAUGCUGGACAGUUUGACCAACAAAUUUUUACUGUCUUGGAAUCAGAUCCACAAUUAAGAAAUACACUAGGUAUAGAUGAACUUUUAAAAUUUUAUAAUAAUGUAGAACAGAGCGAAAGUGUGAGUUCUCAAAAGGAUUUACUCACAUCUAAAGGUUCAUUUGAGGAAUCUAGUGUAUGCCUAGGAAGUCAUAAUAUUUUACCAGACAGAGAUAUUGAAGAGUAUGUGUUACAAGGGGCAGUACCAAAGCAUGCUGUAGAAUUAUAUAAAGAGAAUUCUAUUAAUUCAUUGGAUAAAGAUAUUGCAAGAUUAGUUACAGAUGUUAGUUCUAUAGAAGAUAAUGUAGAGAAGCAUCAAUCCUUGUCACAAUUAUGUAAUGAUGAAUCUGCUGCACAAAAGAUAUUAAUACUUCAACAUAAAUUGGAGGAAGCAACAAAAACUAUUUUUACAGAAAGAGAAGAGAAGAAUUCUUUACAUCGUGGUAUAGAGAAGUUAAAAGCAGAAUUAAUACAAUUAAAAAAACAAUGCGAUGAAUUAGAAGAAAAUAAAGCCCAAGCUAUGAGGGAAUUACUUAUAUUAAAAGAUCGGUUUCAAAUUGAGCUUAGCGAUGUGCAAGCUGAUUUGAUCGACGAAGCUUCAAGCAGAGAAGGCAUGAAUCGCCGUUUGUCUGAACUUAGAGCUGAAUUGGAGAAGCUUCAAGCUGAAAAUGCCGCAGAAUGGGGGAAACGAGAACGUUUGGAAACAGAUAAAAUUUCAUUGGAACGAGAAAAUAAACAGCUUCGUAAUGAAUUACAUGAUCUACAAGAAAGAAUAGAAUCUCGACGAUCGCGUCCGGUUUCCACAUCUGACAGUGAUACAAGACAGUUACAACAAGAACUUUUGGUUAGAAAUACGAUAUUAAAAAAAUCUUUAGAAGAGAAAACGACAGAGCUCUCACAUGCAAUGAGAAGAUCAGAGCAAUACGAGGCAGAAGUGAAGAGAGUAAGAUCAAGAGUUGAAGAAUUGAAGAAAGAAUUAGCUGCAGCUCAGGAUGAAGUAGAUGCCGCGGCUAAUAGUGUUCGCAAAUUGCAACGGGCGAAUGAAGAUCUUUUAGAGCAAUUAGAAUCUGCUAACGUACAAUUAGAGCACUUCCGAAAUAGUUAAAUUGUAGAAUAAUUACUGACAAUUAAUUUGUUAUCAGUACUGGUUCCUACACAAUAGAUGUAGGGAUAGGAGAAAAUAUCGAAGAAAAAUUACGUACAGACAAUGAUGACAAAUUAUCAGAUGGAUAUGAAUAUCAAGAAGCCUAGUAUACACUCAUAUCAAUAAUAUCAUAUUUGAUUUGAGUGAUAUAUGCGAGUUUGGAAUGUGAAAAGUAGUUUCCUAAAUUUUCCAGUAUGGAUACGCCUGUCGGUUUAGCAGUACUUUUAAUUGUGAAUAGCUAUUAAAGAUGUAGGCAAGAUUAAUUUAUUUUACAGGUGAGCUUGAGUUAUGAAAAAUCACUGCCUAUCUCAGUAUUGUAUUAUUGUUUAAAAUUAUUAGAAUAUUUUUCUAGAUUUGUAUUACUUUUUUUUUAUUUUACUGUAUAUACUUAUCUUUUUGUACUCUUUCUUUUACUUCGAAAAUGUUUUUUAUAUAUCUGCAUUUGUGAAAAGUUCACAUUCCAAUAUAUAUUAUUUUUUAAAUAUUUUUAUUGCAUGUAUAUAAACACUGUAUAUAUACGUAAAUGAUAUAUGUAAUUAUAAAUUUUGCCUCUUACCUAAAGACUGGUGAAAUUGGAAAAUGUGUGAUGAUCUGUACCAUCUACGAUACCUGAUAUUUAUAAUUACAAUUCCCAUGAUGUCACAAAUCUAUAUGUAAAAUAAGUAAAACAUUUGUGCGCGUAUCUAUCUAUGUUACGUAGUAACUAUUAUACUAAUUUUAAGUAGAAGAAUUAGUAUUUCAAUUUUCAUUCGUCUAUAGAAAAUUUUACUAGAACAUUCAACAUAAAUGUUUAUCACUUGGUGCAAUUUACAAUUGAAGGAAAAUAGAAAACAGAACUUUUUAUUUGUAUAAUAUGUGUUUUAUUGAUAAAGUAUUUAUGGAUAAAUACUAGUAGCUGAUGUAGCAUUAUUAAAUCGAUAAUGAUGUACAUUCAGUAAAAUUACCUCAAUAAAAAUGAUAUAUAUACUAUGUAUGUAUGUAAGAGACAAUAGGAGUAUGACGUAUAUUCAUAAAGUGUAUGAACGAUCAUAAAUAUUUGUGUUUGUAAUUAAUGCAAAAAAAUAAAAAAGAAGGAUAGUCUAAAUUGUAAUAAAAAAAAAUUGGAGCAAUGUAUGAAAAUCAAAUGAAAAGGAAAGUUUUCCUAAGCAAUAUGAGACUUAAGAA
This is an RNA transcript of Hylaeus anthracinus, 2977 nucleotides long. It is a transcript of the gene named coiled-coil domain-containing protein 102A, with no coding region annotated. The transcript has 7 exons. Lineage: Eukaryota; Metazoa; Arthropoda; Insecta; Hymenoptera; Colletidae. The record is from RefSeq and is a predicted model, not a curated record.